Non-coding RNA from Camelus ferus (Wild Bactrian camel), 72 nucleotides. The record is from Rfam. Lineage: Eukaryota; Metazoa; Chordata; Mammalia; Artiodactyla; Camelidae.
GAGGGUGUAGCUCAGUGGUAGAGUGAGUGCUUAGCGUGCACGAGGUCCUGGGUUCAAUCCCCAGUCCCUCCA